AGCUGAUUUAUCCCUGCUUUUUGUUUUGUUUUGUUUUGUUUGUUUGUUUGUUUGUUUUCCUUUAAGAACUGUGCAUUCUUAAUGUGUUCUGUUCAUCAGUACAGGUGGUUAUACCUGUAUUUUGUACUUCGACUACCUAAUCUGCUCUUAUUUCUGUAUUCCUGUUCAUUCCAGGAUCCAGUCUUGCCUAAUAAAAGAACUACUUAGUACUGAAUUUCCAAGCUUAUUCAAGUUCACUUUUAUGAGUACAUCAAUCUCUGCAGUCUGAGGCAACUCAGGAGGAGUAAUGGAGGUUGCUCCUGUAGAUCCUUUGGAUCCUUCUCUCCCACACUCAGCUCUUUACCAGGAAAGCAGUCUCUCUUCUAAAGUCAGUACACAGCAACAAUGACUGCACUUUGGGUCAGGAUAACAUAAUUUGUCACCUUCUCAUAAUCAAGACACUUUCCAUGAAGUCAGCUUGCCAUGAAUGAGGCUGGAGAGGGUGUGAAGAGAAACAACUGCAAAAAAAUCCUGGAUUUUCAGCAAAAACAGUUGAUAAAACUUUGGAAAUACCCCAACUUUUUUCUAGGAAAGCAAUUACUUGGCAUGGAAAUAAAAGAGAAUCAGUCUGAAAUGCUGCUAUAACAAAAUAAGGUCUUGUAGAAGAAUUGACAUUUAAUGUGAUGAGUUAUAAACAAUUAAGGACGAGAUCAGAGAAUUCUAUUUUCCCUAAUGAGAUUUGUCAGUAUUGAAAAAAAAGCUCACAGAAGUGUGUUUAUUUUUAAAUGUUUUAUCUUUGUCUCUCUAUUUUUUUUUUGUUGUUUUUUUUUUUUUUUUUUUUGUUGUUGUUGUUUUUUUUUUUCUGGUGAAUAAUGUUUGCAUUAAUUUUCAGUCUUUUGUCACCAGAGCAUGCUUACAUUAUCAUAAGUAUCAUUUAAGAAUGUAAAAGAAAGGGUUUUGUUCUUUCUGAGUUUGAGGGUUCGCUGAUCUAGAUACCUAGUUCAGAUGGUCUGCAAUUACCUUGGAAAAUAUUCUUCAAUUGAUACCUCUUUUCCAUGUCACUGACAUAGCUUUUAAACUGUGUCUGGCAUUAAAAUCAUAGCAUAAAGAAUAGGACUAACACUUUUUCUAAGAAGUAAGAUAAUUUACUUUAUGCGUUCUUAGUAUUUCAUGAACUAAUAAGCUAUCACAAAUUAUUUGGUAUAUUUUGGUAUGAAUUGUAUAUUUAGAACUAGCAGAUAACUCUGAAUGUUUAGGAAGGAACUUACCUUUUCACAUUUUUGACAGGACUUAUUUUAGACACUGGCAACUUCAGGGUUUCAUUGCAAAUAAGAUAUUUGAGGUAUUUACAACAGAGGAAUAAUGGGUAACAUUCCAUUUGAAUUGAAAUAAAAAUGAUGCCUGAUUAUUUGUAUCUCCCAGAAAUUUCAAAAAAAUGAAGGAAAACUCAGGGCCAAAAAAAUACUGAAGUUGUCAGUAAUAAAAAAAUGAUUUAAUGCAGUAAAGAAUGCAAUAAAUUAUGGAAAAUAAAA
This is a long non-coding RNA of Anas platyrhynchos (mallard), 1511 nucleotides long. RefSeq lists it as uncharacterized. NCBI's taxonomy places the organism in Eukaryota, Metazoa, Chordata, Aves, Anseriformes, Anatidae. The record is from RefSeq and is a predicted model, not a curated record.